This 31-nucleotide non-coding RNA is filed under the name Rattus norvegicus (Norway rat). The record is from RNAcentral. Lineage: Eukaryota; Metazoa; Chordata; Mammalia; Rodentia; Muridae.
UAAAAUGAGGAAUGCCAGAGGUGACAAUAAG